Lactuca sativa (garden lettuce) is the source of this 108-nucleotide small nucleolar RNA. NCBI's taxonomy places the organism in Eukaryota, Viridiplantae, Streptophyta, Magnoliopsida, Asterales, Asteraceae. The record is from RefSeq and is a predicted model, not a curated record.
AAAUCAUGUUGAGAGCAACUUCUUAACAAACACUUGUAUCUCUCCCAAGCUUCAUACAAUGACUCUCCCGCCUCUUGCUGGAAAUUAGCUAAUCUUCUUUUUGAGCUU